RNAcentral lists this long non-coding RNA (2954 nucleotides) under Equus caballus (horse). Its description in RNAcentral is "lncRNA (ENSECAG00000048908.1)". The record is from RNAcentral. Lineage: Eukaryota; Metazoa; Chordata; Mammalia; Perissodactyla; Equidae.
UUUUUUUUUUUUUUCUGCUUUAUCUCCCCAACCCCCCCCCCCCUCCCCCUGUACACAGUUGUAUAUCUUAGUUGCCGGUCCUUCUAGUUGUGGGAUGUGGGACACUGCCUCAACGUGGCCUGAUGAGUGGUGCCAUGUCCGUGCCCAGGAUCCGAACCCUGGGCCGCUGCAGCAGAGCGUGCGAACUUAACCACUCCACCACGGAGCCAACCCCAAUACCUUGUUUUCUAUUUAGGCCUGUGCAGGGACCACGUACUGUUCACAGAUUUCCAUUCCAUCUGUUUUCCUUAUUAGUAAUAAGCACCCUAAUUUUCAUCUGGCCAUCUGGAUGCCCACUAGCCACUACAUUCCACCACUUCCAUAGCAGGUAAGUGUGGCCACAUCGUUAAGUCUGGACAAAAGCGAUGUGGGUGGAAGUCCAUCUGCAACUUGUAGGUCAUUUCCUUAAGAACAAUUUGCUUUAUCUAAACCUUCUUUUCCUUAUGGAUGGGGAAUGGCAACUAAUGGAACAGUUUGGAUAUCAGGGAUAUACCACCAGCAUUGGACUGCUUUAGCUCUGGGAUAGUAUUUGCAAGAAAAAUAAACUGUAUCUAUUUAGGACAUUGUAUAUUUUGUCAUCUUUGUAUAAAGUUUAACCUGUACCCUACUUACUAUAGAAAUUAAUAUAUGAAACUAUGUUGCUGCCAUAACAAAGCCUAAAAUAUGUGGCCUGUCUUUGUGGUCAGGUAGAAGGCAACCAAGAAACAUAUUAAGGCUGGAAAGCUCGUGACCCUUCUGCAAUGUCUUGGCAACUUGUUUGGUAAAAUUGUCACCUGCAAUGACUUGGAAGGAUGAUCACUUAACUUUAGAGAAGUGGUUAGAAAAAUGUAGACUCUCAUGUGUUUUGACUGCUUCUUGCUGCUUUUUCAAGAUUUGAGAAGAAAGAAAUGAGCUCGGGCAAGAAUUGGCCAAUUUGUAAGGGGAGAUGGAAGGGAGUGGAGCUGUGCUAAUGGAGGCUUUCUCUGCCUUUGAUCUGUAGUCUAAAUUGAAGGUCUCGAAAUUUGGAGCCUACAAGGUUGGAAAAGUCGACUUCAACUGUACCUGAAACAGCAGGAGAUAGACUCAUUCAUAACCUUUCUCAAGGUGUCCCAUUUAGAUUGCUCAGCUAGUGGGAGGUAGUUAUGGCUUCUGAAUCCGCCUUAACAUAGUUGCUGUUGAAAUAGAGAAGAGGAGAAUGGGCUGAGCUAGCAGCUAAUAAAGGAGUGAGAAGCAGACUUAGGAAGUUGUCCAGAAGAAAUCUUGAGUAUGAUUGCUUUCACAUGGAACCAGUGGCACGCUGAUGAAUAUUUAAUAACCAGUUCUAUGUUUUUUUAAAAAAAGCCUUGAUUUUUAAUGUCUGCUUAUUUUUAUGGUAUAAAUACUCCCACCAUGGUCUAUUUCAAGCUACCAAUAUGAUGCCACUGAUUAUGUGGAGUUGGGAAGAGAUGUGCACAGUACAUUCUUGCAAGCCGGUGCAAGCCAGGUCCAGCACUCCACUGCAUGGAACUGACCGCAAGAAAAUAGACAAGCAGCCUUCUGAGUUUUCGGAGUAGCUGAAUUGCCCAAAAAAUCAUAAGCCUUAAAAGCCUUACAAAGCCUUACAAAGGUUGGUGCAUUUUCUCAUCCGUAAAGAAUCCCUCAGGCUCUUAAACUUACAAAAGCAAGAAAUGAGUUGUCCAGAAGGGCAUCUCUAACACCUUCAGAGGAGGCCGCAGAGGGUAAUAGAUAAAUAAUAUUCUCCCAGAAGGCAAAGCCAGGGUCACAGACAGCAAUAGUGAGGGGAGUCAUUCCCAGAGAUCAGAAUCCAGGUUACUUACUGCCCUGCCAGAGCAGGAGGUCCUCACAAUUACUGCUUAGCAGGAUGUCAUCAGGGCCAUGGACCAGUAACCACUGAGUGUUCCCCAUCCUUUCCUUUAAAUGGGAGUUUUUAUUGUGAAUAUGCUGUUGCUGCUUUACCACUGCCUAUUGAAUGUGUGGGGGCUUAGAAAGGAGGGAAGUACAUGUCACUUGCCUACUAGUUUGUAAGUCACUGGACCACCAGGAGCCAACCUCAGACCUGAUACAGAUGACUGUACAUCACUUAGAGAUUCUGGAGGCUGGGCUGGAUGUAGGAACUGGAUGGAAUUUGGAUCUAUCUCCUUAAAGGAGAAAGUAAGGGUGUUCUAUGAAUUGGAAGAAGAGUGAUCAUGGGUACGUGUGCGGCCAGCAUGGCAAAACAUGGACGAGAUCAAUAAUUAUUCCUCAGCAUCCACUCUGCUAUCUUCCUUUUAAUAAUACAAUCUCAUUGAGUUUUAGUUGGGCAUGUAGACUUUUAGGCCAAAGACAAAAUUUCCCAGCCUCCCUCGCAGUGAGAGUGGCCAGACAAUUAUGUUUGAAACAGUGUUGUCAGUGGAAAAGAUAGGUACAGCUUCCAGGUCAUCUCCUUGUUGGAUCAAACAUUUGCCAAGUCCUGAGAAUGUGCAUGCCAAAGUGCCCACAAUGCCAGCUUGACCUCUGAGAACUUUUCCCAUGCUUUUGUGACAUAAAUCAGAAAUGACCAUCCUGCAGGAGACUAACAUUCCUCUUCUUGAUCAAUCGAGUGAUUCCUUCAGAUUCUUGCCCCAUGUGGGCAAAACUUCCUCCUUUUACAUUAGAUCUAGCCUUCUACCUUUAACUCACUGAAGUUGGUUUUGAGUACUGUGGCUCUCUUUUGCCUGGCAAGAAAUAAACUCAGCUUGGUUUUUUCAGCUCUGGUGGUUGCAUUUUUAUCUGUCAUCCUGACAGAUAAGCUGCUUGCCACUAGUUUUCCUUUUCUUCCUUUCUGUUGGCUGGGAAAUGGCUCCUACUUGAAGGGCCUUGGAGGCUAUAUGCUGAGGAUGGCAGAGCUAUCCUGCCAAAUUUGGCCUGCUCCCCUCUGAUAUCCUGAAAGAGAAAAAUGAUCUCAUUUAAGCCACUGU